UACGUAGGGUGCAAGCGUUAAUCGGAAUUACUGGGCGUAAAGGGCUUGUAGGUGGCCAACUAAGUCAGACGUGAAAUCCCCCGGCUUAACCGAGGAACUGCGUCUGAUACUGGAUGGCUAGAGUGUGGGAGAGGGAUGCGGAAUUCCAGGUGUAGCGGUGAAAUGCGUAGAUAUCAGGAGGAACACCGGCGGCGAAGGCGGCCCUCUGGAUCGUUGCUGACGCUGAGACGCGAAAGCGUGGGGAGCAAACAGG
Molecule: ribosomal RNA, 253 nt
Filed under: uncultured prokaryote
Description: partial 16S ribosomal RNA
Rfam family: Bacterial small subunit ribosomal RNA
Source: RNAcentral